AAUUUAAAGAACAAAGAUUUCGACUCUUAAUUUGGGGAGGCCCCUC
RNAcentral lists this transfer RNA (46 nucleotides) under Gordionus wolterstorffii. RNAcentral describes it as "tRNA-Arg". The record is from RNAcentral. Lineage: Eukaryota; Metazoa; Nematomorpha; Gordioida; Chordodea; Parachordodidae.